RNA transcript from Eleginops maclovinus (Patagonian blennie), 2020 nucleotides. It is a transcript of the gene named RELT like 1, with no coding region annotated. Lineage: Eukaryota; Metazoa; Chordata; Actinopteri; Perciformes; Eleginopidae. The transcript is spliced from 7 exons. The record is from RefSeq and is a predicted model, not a curated record.
GGGGAGUAUCACUUUAAUGUCAGGGCGUACAUGCACUCUUUGGGUAUCAGGAAAUACGUGUAUGUUUGCAAGAAGUCCCUCCCGUGAGUUUGCUUUGGUUUAGUUUGACAGUCAUAGCGACAACGGCCGGCUGACCAAAACAUCACCAGCAGUCCUCCGGUAAGCGUCUGUCCAUCAAUGGCCGAUACUGCCACCAAUACGCAUGGUCAGAAUACAACUGCUGGGAAAGAAGGAGCGACUAACCCGGACUACAUCGCCUUCGUCCUGGUCCCUGUUUUCUUCCUGCUCGGCCUGUUGGGGGUGGUGAUCUGCCACGUGUUGAAGAGUAAGGGCUACCGGUGCACCACUGAGGCCCAUGAUGGGGAGGAGGAGUGUGAGGAAGAGAAGGAUCUCGAGUUUGGUGGAGAAAUGAAUGACACCCUCAGUGAGAACAACGACACAGUGGGGCAGAUUGUCCACUACAUCAUGAAAAAUGAAGCAAACUCAGACGCGCUGAAAGCCAUGGUUCAUGAGACCAGCAUCGACUCUGAUGGUCCUCCACUCACCCCAACCUCUCCUGGCACCCCUCCGCUGACCCCCAUAUCACCGGGUGCACCACCAGGAGCCCCAAAGCACACCUGCAGCCACCUGCACACCAUCGGGGGCCUGGGGGGCCACCAAAACAUCUGCAACCGCUGCAGCCAGAAGAAGUGGCCGCUGAUGAGGAAGCUGUCGGCGCGGAAGGUGGAGAAUCGGCGCAGCCAAUGCGGGGAGGUCACGGUGCUCGCUGUGGGCAGGUGGGCAGGUUCCGGGUGACGAAAUGUGAAAAGCCAGCGCGGGAGAGACGGACGCUGCUGAUUACAGACUCCAACGGGAGCGUUCCUGCGUCCCCGACGGAGGCAGGGCCAAAGAGCCGGACCACCUCCGAGUCCCAGCAGGAGCAGAAGGACGACGUGGACAAGGAGACACGAUAGCAGGAACCGGGGGAGGAAGAAAAACAUCAGGUCCAAACCCUAAACAAGAACAAUAAAUCAUCAGCGCCGGGGGAGCCAAGUGGACCAGGGAGUCGUCCCUCCACAUUCCUGCUCCACGGGGGGGUGGGGGGGGGGAUGAAAAGUAUGCUGAGUAUGGACACAGCGGCGAAAGUGGGCACAUUUUACAAGCAGUAAAGAGGGGUAAAGGUGUGUCCAUUUGUGAUACACUCCAUUUCCCCUUAAAAAGAUUUCCGAUUGUGCCUUGCUCAAGAGCGACUAAGCAUGGGAGGCUGCUAAAUGACACGAAGCCCGAACAAAGGGAAUUCCCGAUGAAGGUUACUCAAUACGCCGAUGAUGUGUGUUCUUUGUGGAGGUAAAGAAGUCAAUUAACGGAUAAAACGACACCCCGGAAAAACAGAUCCGGGCCAUUCCCAAACAGGAGGUAGCCUGUAGAUUAGCGGCGGGUGUGAACAUGACUUGCCUUAUCUUCCAAUCCGACCUCUACUAAAGAUGAGAGUGCAGUAUUCUGUGUCGAACAACCAAUUAGCUUUACCAAACAUGGCGGCCUGCUCGGUGUUGUGUCUUAAAGUGACAGCGUUGUGUUUACCAAAAAAACCUUAAGUCUGUGUACUCAGGCAGGUCAGUCUAGACUUUUUGAAUGUGUCAGAUAGCUAUUACUCAAGAUUUAAACCCCGUUGUUUUUUUAUUUAUGUGUUCUUCACUAGCUCAUAGAGUUGUCAAUGCUAACGUGUUAGCGAACGAGUUCCUGUUUACAGCAUGCUAGCUAAAUCCACAAAAGAUACCAAAGCACAGUAAAUCUCGGCCUUUCUUUUUUGUCAGUCUUUUUUAACACCGGUCACAUGACUUCUUUAUGGAAGUGUAGCCCUUUUAGACCCAAAUAUAUAAUGCUCAAAGAGUAUAUCUUUAGGAAUGUUUUCUUUCAACCGGUCAUUUCAUUGUGUCUCAUUUAAAAACUAAAUAUUUAGAACUGUUGUUAUUCAUAUUUUGGGACAGUUUGCUGUGUUUCUAUCUUUUUAAAGGAAGAAAAUAAAGACGACUAAUACCAA